UCGGGAAUUUUGGGCAAUGGGGGAAACCCUGACCCAGCAACGCCGCGUGAAGGAUGAAGUAUUUCGGUAUGUAAACUUCGAAAGAAUAGGAAGAAUAAAUGACGGUACUAUUUAUAAGGUCCGGCUAACUACGUGCCAGCAGCCGCGGUAAUACGUAGGGACCAAGCGUUGUUCGGAUUUACUGGGCGUAAAGGGCGCGUAGGCGGCGUGGUAAGUCAUCUGUGAAAUCUCCGAGCUUAACUCGGAACGGUCAGAUGAUACUGCUGUGCUAGAGUACAGAAAGGGCAAUCGGAAUUCUUGGUGUAGCGGUGAAAUGCGUAGAUAUCAAGAGGAACACCUGAGGCGAAGGCGGGUUGCUAGGCUGAUACUGACGCUGAGGCGCGAAAGCUAGGGUAGCAAACGGGAUUAGAUACCCCCGUAGUCCCUGAGCGGGCUGGCAAGGCGCAU
This 447-nucleotide ribosomal RNA is filed under the name uncultured bacterium. RNAcentral describes it as "bacterial SSU rRNA". It matches the Rfam family "Bacterial small subunit ribosomal RNA", at positions 355 to 825 of the family's 1533-position model. The record is from RNAcentral.